AGAGUUUGAUCAUGGCUCAGGAUGAACGCUGGCGGCGUGCUUAACACAUGCAAGUCGAACGAACCUUCGGGUUAGUGGCGGACGGGUGAGUAACGCGUGAGAAUCUGCCCUCAGGAGGGGGAUAACGGCUGGAAACGGCCGCUAAUACCCCAUAUGCCGAGAGGUGAAAUGAGUUUCGCCUGAGGAUGAGCUCGCGUCUGAUUAGCUAGUUGGUGGGGUAAGAGCCUACCAAGGCAUCGAUCAGUAGCUGGUCUGAGAGGAUGAUCAGCCACACUGGGACUGAGACACGGCCCAGACUCCUACGGGAGGCAGCAGUGGGGAAUUUUCCGCAAUGGGCGAAAGCCUGACGGAGCAACGCCGCGUGAGGGAUGAAGGCCUCUGGGCUGUAAACCUCUUUUAUCAAGGAAGAAGAUCUGACGGUACUUGAUGAAUAAGCCACGGCUAAUUCCGUGCCAGCAGCCGCGGUAAUACGGGAGUGGCAAGCGUUAUCCGGAAUUAUUGGGCGUAAAGCGUCCGCAGGCGGCCUUUUAAGUCUGUUGUCAAAGCGUGGAGCUCAACUCCAUUUAAGCAAUGGAAACUGGGAGGCUUGAGUGUGGUAGGGGCAGAGGGAAUUCCCGGUGUAGCGGUGAAAUGCGUAGAUAUCGGGAAGAACACCAGUGGCGAAGGCGCUCUGCUGGGCCAUAACUGACGCUCAUGGACGAAAGCCAGGGGAGCGAAAGGGAUUAGAUACCCCUGUAGUCCUGGCCGUAAACGAUGAACACUAGGUGUCGGGGGAAUCGACCCCCUCGGUGUCGUAGCCAACGCGUUAAGUGUUCCGCCUGGGGAGUACGCACGCAAGUGUGAAACUCAAAGGAAUUGGCGGGGGCCCGCACAAGCGGUGGAGUAUGUGGUUUAAUUCGACGCAACGCGAAGAACCUUACCAGGGUUUGACAUCCUGCGAAUCCCUUGGAAACUUGGGAGUGCCUUCGGGAGCGCAGAGACAGGUGGUGCAUGGCUGUCGUCAGCUCGUGUCGUGAGAUGUUGGGUUAAGUCCCGCAACGAGCGCAACCCACGUCUUUAGUUGCCAGCAUUCAGUUGGGCACUCUAGAGAGACCGCCGGUGAUAAACCGGAGGAAGGUGUGGAUGACGUCAAGUCAUCAUGUCCCUUACAUCCUGGGCUACACACGUACUACAAUGCUACGGACAAAGGGCAGCAAACUCGCGAGAGCUAGCAAAUCCCAUAAACCGUGGCUCAGUUCAGAUCGUAGGCUGCAACUCGCCUACGUGAAGGAGGAAUCGCUAGUAAUCGCAGGUUAGCAUACUGCGGUGAAUACGUUCCCGGGCCUUGUACACACCGCCCGUCACACCAUGGAAGUUGGCCACGCCCGAAGCCGUUACUCCAACCCUUGUGGAGGAGGACGUCGAAGGUGGGGCUGAUGACUGGGGUGAAGUCGUAACAAGGUAACC
Molecule: ribosomal RNA, 1446 nt
Filed under: uncultured bacterium
Lineage: Bacteria
Description: bacterial SSU rRNA
Rfam family: Bacterial small subunit ribosomal RNA
Source: RNAcentral